Long non-coding RNA from Mya arenaria, 322 nucleotides. RefSeq lists it as uncharacterized. The record is from RefSeq and is a predicted model, not a curated record. Lineage: Eukaryota; Metazoa; Mollusca; Bivalvia; Myida; Myidae. The transcript has 4 exons.
GGCGGACAACCAGGCGAAUGGGAAACGGAUGGCACAGAUUCAGAUCUCUUUGAAUUGGACAGCUACAUUUAUAUAUCAGUGAGACGAAGGAUUACAGCGCUGAUGAGGAACAUGUAAAUGCAGUUGAGGACAUGAGAGCUUUGGUGGUGCCUGAAAGAGAUGAGUGCAGCAAUAUAAGUGCAGAUUCUACAAUAGUUCCUGUUCCGAAAGUAGAACCAAUGUUUUUGAAGCCUGAGGUUCAUGAUAAUCCCCAGGAACACCGUAAUUUCAAGGAACAUGCCGUCUCACAGGAACAUGCCACAGGAACAAGGCAUCUCACAGG